AAAAAUGAACAAGCCCAGAAACAACUGAAGAUCACUGCCAGAAUCUGGUGCUAGUUCACCCACCGUCUGCCUUCUUCUUCCUCCUCCCUUUUGUUCUUCUCUCUAUCCGAAGAACAAAACUCUCUCCUUCAAUCCUAAAUUAAAAUCUAGUUAUAACCCAGAGAAUGAAGAGCCCAGAUUGCCACCAGAAUCCGGCACCGUUCACCGUUCACUAUCUUCAUCAGAAACCUAACUUCAUAUGGUUCCUAAUUCUAUCUUCAAAACCUGAGAACUCCAAAAAAUACCCAAACAGAAAUUCACAACCUCAAACGAAAUAUUAAGCUGUCGAUUGCUUCUUGUUACUCUAAGCUGUGAAUUACUAAACUUAUUGCUAUAAGUGCUCUUUUGUAAGCUCGAUUGUUGUUGUUUGCAUUUGGUGCAGGAUUCCGGUGAUUAUUUCUGGGUUGAGUGUGUUAGUUGGGUACAAAGUUGGGCUUUCUGGCUAUGGGUUUUUGGGUUUCUCAUUAGGUAAUAGCUUUUCGGUUUUCUGGGAUGGAUUCUUGUUUCUGACUUGUUUUUUAUUUUCACAAUUGUUUGCUGUGUUUGUGCUGUUUGUUGAGACUGUGGGUUUUGCUGACUACUCUGUUUUUGCUUCUAUGGCCGAGAAUUCCUUGCUUUGCUUCUUCCUUGAUUGCUUGAUUUACUUCUGUGUUUGCCGAAUUCCUCUGUUCUGUUUGAUUUUCUCUUUUUUGGUUGGUUCUUGUUUGGCUGCUUUUGGAGUUGGUGUAGCUUGAACUCUGGCUUUGAUUCGUUGAUGUCUUUGCUGCUAAUUCCCCUAGUUUGCACUGCUGAAAUUGCUGUGAGGAAUUGUUCACUGCCUCUGUUGCUUCUUGUUGAAUUGUUUGAAUGCUUCUUGAUUCUGUGUGUUGUGUAUGCUUGUUCUCUUCGUGAUUGCAGGUUAAAAGUUC
This 947-nucleotide long non-coding RNA is filed under the name Durio zibethinus. RNAcentral's name for it is "long non-coding RNA (DZIB_LNC002080)". The record is from RNAcentral. Lineage: Eukaryota; Viridiplantae; Streptophyta; Magnoliopsida; Malvales; Malvaceae.